ACAGCACAGCCUUUUCUCGUGCUGAGCGGCUUCUGAGCCAGAGGCGCGGAAGCCUGACCUGCGAAGGCCAGAGCAGACCUGAGUCGCAGCAAAAGCACGUGCGGCCGUGUUCGUUUUCUCUUUACUGUCCUCGUCUGAUUCUCUCUUAAAAACCAGCAGGUAACUUUUGAGACCCUCGCAGACACGGUUGCCACCCCGAUCCCCAGCUCUCUAAACCGAGGCGGAGAUAAGGUCCCGCCGAGGCUCUCGGUCCAGGCGAGGGCCGCCCCCGCCCCCCGCCCUGCAGUCCACGGAACUGUGGUGAAGCGCGGUGGCAGCGGCGGCCGGAGGGGGGGCGGCGAGCGGCUCUUCUCUAGGAGAAGACGUGGAGCACUUAUAGCCUUUUGGCUGGCAUUCCUCAGAAGGUCAAGUUCACUGUCACCACGGGCCAUUACACAGUAAAAAACGGGGACAGCCUCCAGCUCAGCAACGUAGAAGCCAUGCUUAUCCUGUGUCCUGCCGAGAACAGAGCCGUGAUCUAUUCCAACACGCGGGAAAAGGCUUCGGACGCGUCACUGCGGAUUCAGUCGUCUGACAAGGUCACAAGCAUCAGUCUGCCAGCGGCACCUGCGUAUCACCUGAUCGAAUUUGAACUGGAAGUUCUCUCUUUACCUUCAGCUCCGGCAGCUGGAGGGGAGAGCACCGUGCCGGGGAUGACAGAGCCCCCUAGGAAGCACAAGGACACACAGCAAGCCGGCCCCUGCAUGGCUACCACGGAUCACAAAGUAAGGAGGGCAGGAGCGCUCUGGGGGGGGUUAGCUUUUCUCUCUGUGGAUCUCCCCUUCUGAGAUGAGAGGACGUCUUGCAAAGGCAGACAGGCUCUUGACUUUCCCGUCCCAGUUCAGGGGGGAGGACAGUGUGUCGUGAGAGACACAGUGUUGGCUUAGGGGACGGUAAGUGUGCCGAGGCUAAAGGGCGCUCUGUGUCUCAGCGCGUCCCUCUUUGUUUAUUGACACCUCGUCUCAUCCUUAGCAAGGAGGAAACACUAUAUUGUUUUGUGCUUUUGGUGCAAGUAUUUCCUGAGUUGGUGGAAAGAUCCGUGAUCCAAAUCCACAGUCCAUCAGCUCACAGGAUGUUUACUAGCAUCAUGCUUAUUCCGAGUCUGUCCUUAUCUUGUAACACAGGUAGCAAUUCUUUCUGAGGGCGUUUGAGCAGCCCAAGGGUAGAAGUGUAUGCUCGUGACCCCACAGGACUGUAGUCUUUGCAUACCUUUUUAAAAAAUUUAUUUAUUUAUUUUGCUUUUUAGGGCCACACCUGCGGCAUAUGGAGGUUCCCACGCUAGGGAUCCAGUCAGAGCUACAGCUGCCGGCCUCCACCACAGACACAGCAGUGCAGGAUCCGAGCCAUGUCUGCAACCUACACCACUGCUCAUGGCAACACCAGAUCCUUAACCCACCGAGCGAGGCCAGGGAUCGAACCCGAAACCUCGUGGUUCCUCGUCGGAUUUGUUUCCGCUGCGCCACGACAGGAACGCCAGUUUCUGCAUACUUUUUAACAGCGGCUCCCUGAGGCUCUGGCUUCUAGUCCAUUUGAACAUGGGUGCUGGGGUUGUCCUCUCUGGGACACUGACAGGUCUUGGCACAUCCCCACCUGCUGGGAGCUAUUAGAAGUAUAAUAGGCUGCUUGACAAGCACAGAGGUUUGCGAGACAGCCAAGAGCCGGGGCAGGGCCCGACAGCAAGGUUUACCUCCUGCAUGAGGCCACACUUUACAGAGAGGCGGUUGUGUCAUCUGCUGACACAGAGAAAACGACAGAGUCAAGCAAAAUGAAGAAACAGAGGAGCAUGUUCCAGGGGGAAGAACGAGAUGAAAAGGAAUCUCGGGGGGAAAGCCUUAAUGCGACAGAGAUGAGCACGUUAUCCGGUAACGAAUUCAAGGUAAUGGUCGUGUGUAGGCAUUCCCAGCACGGCGCAGCAGAGGCGAAUCCCACGAGGAACCAUGAGGCUGCAGGUUCUGGUCCUGCCUCGAUCCAUGGGUUAAGGAUCCGGCGUCGCAGUGAGCUGUGGUGCAGGUCACAGACGCGGCUCAGAUCUGGGGUUGCUGCGGCUGUGGCGGAGGCCAGCGGCUACGGCUUCGAUUGGACCCCCAGCCUGGGAACCUCCAUAUGCUGCGGGUGUGGCCCUAAAAAGCAAAAGCCAAAAAAAAAAAAACCAAACAUAAAAUGUUGGGGGUGUGUAAACAUGUUGAACUUUAAAACAGGAUCCAGCUUCAGUUGUUAUAACUUAAAGUAGACUUAUGGAUACAGAUUGUUACAUGUAAGCCUCCUGGAGACCACAGAGCACAACCUACAGGAACUACACAGAAGAUAAAGGAAUAUAAACACACCACCAAAGAAACUCAUUAAACUACAAAGGAAGAGAGAGAGCAAGAGAAAGAGACAGAGGCAGAAAAACCAUCAACAAAAUGACAACAAGCACAUAUCUCAGUAAUUACUCUAAGUGCAAAUAAUAGACCAAAUUCUGCAAUCAAAACACAAAGCGGCUGAGUGGAUUAAAAAAAAUCAAGACUGGGCAGCCAGGUUGCGAAUCCGACUGCCGUGGCUCAGGUCACUGCGGAAGUGCCUGGCACACUGAGCUAAAGGGUCCGUGUUACUGCAGCUGCCGCUCAGAUUCAGUCCCCAGCACAGGAACUUCCAUGGGUGCAGCUGUUUAAACAGAAGAUAUCCAGACCCACCUUUUAGCUGCCUGCCGGGAGAGGCGCUUAGUUGGGAGGACACACAAACUGAAAGUAAAGGUUGGAGAAGGUCCGCCGCACGACUGGAAACAAGGAAAGAGCCAGGAGGUCGCACCGACCUCGGACAAGAGAGCCUUUAACCAGAGACGGCGGCAAGAGGCAAGCGUGGGUGUGACGACGGGGUCAGUCCCAUACAGAGGUAGGACGUCUGUGGGGGUUUUGCCCCCAGCAGGGAGCCCUUAAGAUAGAAAGCGAACGUGAACAUAUCCGAAGGGCCAGCCGGCAGUGGAGUGAUGCUGGGGCUUUGACGCCGCACCUACGUAAACGAGUAGGUCAUCCAGACAGGAAAUCAGUGAGGACACACUGGCCUUCAGUGUGUUAGACCAGAUGGAUUUAACAGACAUUUCCAGAACAUGCAUUCCAAGAACAACAGAAUACGCGUUCUUCUCAAGUACAUAUGGCACAUUUUCCCAAAUAGAUCGUAUGUUAGAACACCAAACAAGUCGCAGUGAAUUUAAGACGUUUGAAGUCACAUCAAGCAUCUUUUCCAACCACGUGGUACGACUGCAGAAGUGAAUUACGCAAAGAGAAGUGCAGAAACGUGUGGAGACUAAACAGCCUGCUGCCGAACAACCAGCAGGGCAGGCGAGCGAAGAAACCCACAGAGAAAGAAAAACCCACCUUGAGACAAGUGAAAAUGGAAGUGGAACCUGCCAACACUUAAGAGAUGCAGCAAAGAAGCUCCCGGAGGGAAGUUGAUAACAAUAAAAGCCUUCCUCAGGGAGCAAGAGGGAGUUCCCCUCAUGGCUCCGUGGUUAACGAACCCGACUGGCAUCCGUGAGGACCGGGUUCGAUCCCUGCCUUGCUCAGUGGGUUAAGGAUCCAGCGCUGCCGAGAGCUGUGGUGUCGCUCGCAGACACAGCUGGGAUCUGACGUUGCUGUGGCUGUGGGACAGGCCAGCAGCGUAGCUCUGAUUCAACCCCUAGCCUGGGAACCUCCAUGUGCUGCAGGUGUGGCCCUAAAAAGGCAAAGAAAAACAAAAGUUUCAAAUGAACAAUGUGACUUUACAUCUCAAGGAGCUAGAAAAAGAAGAACAAAGGUCAGAGUUAGCAGAAGGAAGGAAGUUACAAACGAUCAGAAGAGAAAUGCAGGAAACAGACUAAAAAGACCAUAGAGACAGUCCCAAACCAGGGGCCACACACCCAGCUGGUGUCCGUGAGGACGCUGGUUCGCUGGGUCCCUGGCCGCGCUCGCUGGGAUCCUGCGUGGCUGGGGCUGUGGUGGAGGCCGGCAGCUCUGGCUCCGAUUCGACCCCUAGCCUGGGAGCCUCCACAUGCUGCGGCCCAAAAAAGG
This 4064-nucleotide long non-coding RNA is filed under the name Sus scrofa (pig). Its description in RNAcentral is "lncRNA (ENSSSCG00005011183.1)". The record is from RNAcentral. Lineage: Eukaryota; Metazoa; Chordata; Mammalia; Artiodactyla; Suidae.